Molecule: small nuclear RNA, 328 nt
Filed under: Mus pahari (shrew mouse)
Lineage: Eukaryota; Metazoa; Chordata; Mammalia; Rodentia; Muridae
Description: sRNA (MGP_PahariEiJ_G0007931.1)
Rfam family: 7SK RNA (bases 14-306)
About the family: 7SK was discovered as an abundant small nuclear RNA in the mid-70s but a possible function has only recently been suggested. Two independent studies have found that 7SK RNA binds the CDK9/cyclin T complex (known as elongation factor P-TEFb).
Source: RNAcentral
AGAAUGUGGUAGUGGGUGUAAGGAUGAUCUGGCUUGACCUUGAGUGUUGAUUCUGAUGAUCUGGCUCGCUAGGUGAGUGUACCUUUCCCUCAGUGUUCUGCACGCAUCCCUCCCAAAGCUGCACUCUUGGUUGAAGAGGACAACCUUUGCCUAAUAGAGGAGGCUCGUUCUUUUGUCAAAGUUAUACGUGUAGCUGUGUAUCUUCUCUCCCAAAGCAUCCAAAUAAGCUCUCAAGAAUGGUAGGUAAUGUUAAUUGGAUAAAGAAAUAAAGCACACCUCUGGGUGUUUCUGUGAGGGUGUUUUCAGAAAUGGGUAGAUCACAAAAACU